This 105-nucleotide small nuclear RNA is filed under the name Moschus moschiferus (Siberian musk deer). The record is from RNAcentral. Lineage: Eukaryota; Metazoa; Chordata; Mammalia; Artiodactyla; Moschidae.
GCUCACUUCAGCAAUGCAUAUACUAAAGUUGGAAUGAUACAGAGAAGACUAGCAUGGCCCUUGCACAAAGAUAACACACAAAUUCAUGGAGUGUUCCAUGUUUUU